CGAGUGGCGAACGGGUGAGUAAUACAUCGGAACGUGCCCAGUAAUGGGGGAUAGCUCGGCGAAAGCCGGAUUAAUACCGCAUACGCCCUGAGGGGGAAAGUGGGGGACCGCAAGGCCUCACGUUAUUGGAGCGGCCGAUGGCUGAUUAGCUAGUUGGUAGGGUAAAGGCCUACCAAGGCGACGAUCAGUAGCUGGUCUGAGAGGACGAUCAGCCACACUGGGACUGAGACACGGCCCAGACUCCUACGGGAGGCAGCAGUGGGGAAUUUUGGACAAUGGGGGAAACCCUGAUCCAGCAAUGCCGCGUGUGCGAAGAAGGCCUUCGGGUUGUAAAGCACUUUUGUCAGGGAAGAAAUCCUUUGGGCUAAUACCCUAGGGGGAUGACGGUACCUGAAGAAUAAGCACCGGCUAACUACGUGCCAGCAGCCGCGGUAAUACGUAGGGUGCAAGCGUUAAUCGGAAUUACUGGGCGUAAAGCGUGCGCAGGCGGUUCUAUAAGACAGGUGUGAAAUCCCCGGGCUUAACCUGGGAAUUGCAUU
Molecule: ribosomal RNA, 539 nt
Filed under: bacterium EP2.34
Lineage: Bacteria
Description: bacterial SSU rRNA
Rfam family: Bacterial small subunit ribosomal RNA
Source: RNAcentral